ACAGGAAUCUCCACCUGUUGUCCAUCGACUACGCCUUUCGGCCUCGCCUUAGGUGCCGACUGACCCCGGGCGGACGAACCUGCCCCGGGAAGCCUUGGGAUUCCGGCGACCGGAAUUUCCAUCCGGUUUUCCGUUACUCAUGUCCGCAUAAUCGCUCGUGCGAAGUCCACCGCCCGUCUCCGGCGCGGCUUCGCCGUCCCCGCUUCCAAGAAAAGACCACGCGUAUUAACCCGUCGGCCGUACCGAAACCGACACAGGUGGGAUGGUACAAGGAUACCAAGGCGCGCGGGAGAAACCUCGUUAAGGAACUCGGCAACAUGACCCCGUAACUUCGGGAGAAGGGGUCCUCCGGGGCAAUGCCCGGAGGCGCAGCGAAACGGCCCAUGCGACUGUUUAGCAAAAACACAGCACUCUGCCAACCCGUGAAGGGGAAGUAUAGGGUGUGACACGUGACCAAUGCGGAAAGGUCAAGGCGAGGAGUCAGCGCAAGCGAAGCCCCGAACCAAAGCCCCCGUGAAUGUCGGCCGUAACUAUAACGGUCCUAAGGUAGCGAAAUUCCUUGUCGGGCAAGUUCCGACCUGCACGAAUCGUGUAACGAUAUGGGCGCUGUCUCAACGAGGAUCUCGGUGAAGUUGUAGUGCCGGUGAAAAUGCCGGAUACCCGCAGAAGGACGGAAAGACCCCAUGAACCUUUACUGUUGCCUGGCAUUGGCGGCUGGGCGGCCAUGUGUAGCAUAGGUGGGAGGCAUCGAUGCCCCGGCGCCAGCCGGGGCGGAGCCUUCAGUGAAAUACCACCCUUGGCCGUCCGGUCUCCUAACCGCGCGCCGUGGAUCCGGCGCCGGGACCGCGCCAGGCGGUCAGUUUGACUGGGGCGGUUUCCUCCAAAAAGGUAACGGAGGAGUUCGAAGGUCGGCUCACCGCGUUUGGCAAGCGCGGGCGCGAGCGCAAGGGCACAAGCCGGCCUCACUGCAAGACCGACGGGUCGAGCAGCCGCGAAAGCGGGACCUAGUGAUCCAGCGGUGGAACGUGGCAUCGCCGUUGCUCAUCGGACAAAAGGUACUCUGGGGAUAACAGGCUGAUCGCGCCCAAGCGUCCACAGCGACGGCGCGGUUUGGCACCUCGAUGUCGGCUCAUCACAUCCUGGGGCUGAAGCAGGUCCCAAGGGUUGGGCUGUUCGCCCAUUAAAGUGGUACGUGAGCUGGGUUCAGAACGUCGUGAGACAGUUCGGUCCAUAUCCAUCGCGGGCGUAAGAGAUUUGAAGGGAGCUGCUCCUAGUACGAGAGGACCGGAGUGGACGGACCAACGGUGUACCAGUUAUUGCGCCAGCAGUACAGCUGGGUAGCUGCGUCCGGAAGGGAUAAACGCUGAAAGCAUCUAAGCGUGAAGCCUGCCUUGAGAUGAGAUCUCUCACAGCGUAAGCUGGUAAGACUCCUUGAAGACGACAAGGUUGAUAGGCUGGAAGUGGAAGAGUGGCAACAUUCGAAGCGGACCAGUACUAAUAAGUCGAGGGCUUAAUUA
This 1517-nucleotide ribosomal RNA is filed under the name human gut metagenome. RNAcentral's name for it is "bacterial LSU rRNA". It matches the Rfam family "Bacterial large subunit ribosomal RNA", at positions 1360 to 2925 of the family's 2925-position model. The record is from RNAcentral.